Long non-coding RNA from Phascolarctos cinereus (koala), 2815 nucleotides. Lineage: Eukaryota; Metazoa; Chordata; Mammalia; Diprotodontia; Phascolarctidae. The record is from Ensembl.
ACAAACAUUAGCUUGCCAGAGAGACAUGAAGGGUUCUGACAUUGUAUAGAGUGGAUGAGAUUCAUCUACGCCUAGGGGACUCCAGUGUAGGUGUCAGGAGGACCCGGCUUCAAGUGCCAAUCCUGGCCCAUACCUGGGGAAAGUCACUUUACUUUGCAUUACCCCCCGGAGACUCCAAGUCUGUAAAGGGUGGAGCAGGCACCACUAUGCAUAAGGGAAGGAGCUUACUCUCCUGAAAGUUCCCUAAACCAAUGAAAUCACAGGUACAAACCCCUAUCAAAAUCCUCCUCCUCCUCCUCCUCAUCAUCAUCAUCAUCACCAUCACCAUCAUCAUGGUCAUCAUCAUCAUCACUGUCGUCAUCAUCAUCACCAUCAUCACCACCAUCAUCACCACCAUCAUCAUCCUCAUCACCACCAUCAUCACCACCAUCAUCAUCACCACCAUCAUCAUCAUCAUGGUCAUCAUCAUUAUCACUGUCGUCAUCAUCAUCACCAUCAUCACCACCAUCAUCAUCCUCAUCACCACCAUCAUCACCACCAUCAUCAUCACCACCAUCAUCAUCAUCAUGGUCAUCAUCAUUAUCACUGUCAUCAUCAUCAUCACCAUCAUCACCACCAUCAUCAUCAUCACUGUCGUCAUCAUCAUCACCAUCAUCAUCCUCAUCACCACCAUCAUCACCACCAUCACCAUCAUCAUGGUCAUCAUCAUUAUCACUGUCAUUGUCAUCAUCACCAUCAUCAUCCUCAUCACCACCAUCACCAUCAUCAUGGUCAUCAUCAUCAUCAAUCACUGUCAUCAUCAUCACCACCAUCAUCAUCCUCAUCACCACCAUCAUCACCACCAUCAUCAUCAUCAUGGUCAUCAUCGUUAUCACUGUCAUCAUCAUCAUCACCAUCAUCACCACCAUCAUCACCACCAUCAUCAUCAUCAUGGUCAUCAUCAUUAUCACUGUCAUUGUCAUCAUCACCAUCAUCACCACCAUCAUCAUCAUUGUCGUCAUCAUCACCACCAUCAUCAUCCUCAUCACCACCAUCAUCACCAUCAUCAUCAUUAUCACUGUCAUCAUCAUCAUCAUCAUUGUCAUCAUCAUCACCACCAUCACCAUCAUCAUGGUCAUCAUCAUUAUCACUGUCGUCAUCAUCAUCAUCACCAUCAUCACCACCAUCAUCAUCCUCAUCACCACCAUCAUCACCACCAUCAUCAUCAUCAUGGUCAUCAUCGUUAUCACUGUCAUCAUCAUCAUCAUCAUCAUCACCACCAUCAUCACCACCAUCAUCAUCAUCAUCACCACCAUCAUCAUCAUCAUCACCAUCAUCAUCAUCACCAUCAUCAUCAUCAUUGUCGUCAUCAUCACCACCAUCAUCAUCCUCAUCACCACCAUCACCAUCAUCAUGGUCAUCAUCAUUAUCACUGUCGUCAUCAUCAUCAUCACCAUCAUCACCACCAUCAUCAUCAUCACCAUCAUCAUCCUCAUCACCACCAUCACCAUCAUCAUCAUCAUUAUCACUGUCGUCAUCAUCAUCACCAUCAUCAUCAUCACUGUCGUCAUCAUCAUCACCAUCAUCACCACCAUCAUCAUCCUCAUCACCACCAUCAUCACCACCAUCAUCAUCAUCAUGGUCAUCAUCGUUAUCACUGUCAUCAUCAUCAUCACCAUCAUCACCACCAUCAUCAUCCUCAUCACCACCAUCAUCACCACCAUCAUCAUCAUCAUGGUCAUCAUCAUUAUCACUGUCAUCAUCAUCACCACCAUCAUCAUCAUCAUGGUCAUCAUCGUUAUCACUGUCAUCAUCAUCAUCACCAUCAUCACCACCAUCAUCACCACCAUCAUCAUCAUCAUGGUCAUCAUCAUUAUCACUGUCAUUGUCAUCAUCACCAUCAUCACCACCAUCAUCAUCCUCAUCACCACCAUCAUCACCACCAUCAUCAUCAUCAUGGUCAUCAUCAUUAUCACUGUCAUCAUCAUCACCACCAUCAUCAUCAUCAUGGUCAUCAUCGUUAUCACUGUCAUCAUCAUCAUCACCAUCAUCACCACCAUCAUCACCACCAUCAUCAUCAUCAUGGUCAUCAUCAUUAUCACUGUCAUUGUCAUCAUCACCAUCAUCACCACCAUCAUCAUCCUCAUCACCACCAUCAUCACCACCAUCAUCAUCAUCAUGGUCAUCAUCAUUAUCACUGUCAUCAUCAUCAUCACCAUCAUCACCACCAUCAUCAUCCUCAUCACCACCAUCAUCAUCCUCAUCACCACCAUCAUCACCAUCAUCAUCAUUAUCACUGUCAUCAUCAUCAUCAUCAUUGUCAUCAUCAUCACCACCAUCAUCAUCAUCAUUGUCGUCAUCAUCAUCACCAUCAUCAUCCUCAUCACCACCAUCAUCACCACCAUCAUCAUCAUCAUGGUCAUCAUCAUUAUCACUGUCAUCAUCCUCAUCACCACCAUCAUUGUCAUCCUCAUCACCACCAUCAUCACCAUCAUCAUCAUUAUCACUGUCAUCAUCAUCAUCAUCAUUAUCACUGUCGUCAUCACCAUCAUCAUUCUCAUCAUCAUCAUCAUUGUCAUCAUCAUCAUCACCAUCAUCAUCAUUACUAUUAUAACAACAAUAACUGUUAUUAUUACAGCCUAGUUUAGUGGAUGUGGGUUAACGUCCUACUUCUGACAUCUAUCGGCUGUGUCUCCCUGGGCAAGUCAUUUAACCCCUUAGUGCCCCCAAGAGACAUCUAAUACUAUAAGUUGCAGAGGCUAACCUGCAUUGGUAGAAAGUGUUUCUCCUCAGGAAUUCCCUGGAUCAAUUUGUUCACAGGUCUGGUCCCCAAAAC